GAUGAAGAACGUAGCGAAAUGCGAUAAGUAGUGUGAAUUGCAGAAUUCAGUGAAUCAUCGAAUCUUUGAACGCACAUUGCGCCCCUUGGUAUCCCGAGGGGCAUGCCUGUUCGAGCGUCAUUUCACCACUCAAGCCUGGCUUGGUGUUGGGCGACGUCCCCUUUGGGGACGCGCCUCGAAACGCUCGGCGGCGUGGCACCGGCUUUAAGCGUAGCAGAAUCUUUCGCUUUGGAAGUCGGGGCCUCGUCUGCCGGAAGACCUACUCGCAAGGUUGACCUCGGAUCAGGCAGGGAUACCCGCUGAACUUAAGCAUAUCAAUAAGCGGAGGA
This 329-nucleotide unclassified non-coding RNA is filed under the name soil metagenome. Its description in RNAcentral is "partial contains 5.8S ribosomal RNA, internal transcribed spacer 2, and large subunit ribosomal RNA". The stretch from base 1 to 120 matches the Rfam family "5.8S ribosomal RNA", at positions 35 to 154 of the family's 154-position model. The record is from RNAcentral.